CCUACGGGGGGCUGCAGUAGGGAAUAUUGGGCAAUGGGCGGGAGCCUGACCCAGCCAUGCCGCGUGGAGGAUGAAGGCGCUCAGCGUUGUAAACUCCUUUUAUCUGGGAAGAACGGCAGGCCUGUGGGCUUGUGUGACGGUACCAGAGGAAUAAGCACCGGCUAACUCCGUGCCAGCAGCCGCGGUAAUACGGAGGGUGCGAGCGUUGUCCGGAUUUAUUGGGUUUAAAGGGUGCGUAGGUGGCUUCUUAAGUCUGGUUUGAAAGCUGGUGGCUC
This 275-nucleotide ribosomal RNA is filed under the name uncultured bacterium. RNAcentral's name for it is "partial 16S ribosomal RNA". It matches the Rfam family "Bacterial small subunit ribosomal RNA", at positions 338 to 610 of the family's 1533-position model. The record is from RNAcentral.